Triticum dicoccoides is the source of this 3777-nucleotide RNA transcript. RefSeq lists it as uncharacterized. The transcript is spliced from 8 exons. The record is from RefSeq and is a predicted model, not a curated record. Lineage: Eukaryota; Viridiplantae; Streptophyta; Magnoliopsida; Poales; Poaceae.
AGUGGCUUGGGUGCUCAGGUAGCUCAUACGAGAGGGAUUGCCAACUGGAUAAGAGCGGCGUGGCGGUCUCGACCAUUGGUCAAAGGCCAUGUGACCUAGCCGCCCGCAGCUGCAGCCGCCUCCUCUCCUCUUCCUCGUUCUCCUGCCGCCGCCGCCUCCUCCUCUCCUCUCCCCGAAUUCUCCUACCUCAGUCGUCGUUGUCGCCGCCGCCGCCGUCGACCUAGACGUCACCGGCUGAGACCGCUGUGGUAUGGAUAAGGAGACGAGAGGAAGAGGACAUCCUUCCCUGACAGCGCCCUGACCUGCCAGGUCUUCCUCCUCGUCGGCCUAGGUCUGGUUCUGCUGGAUUAGAUGGACAGAAGUGGUGGAUCCGAUGGUUGCCGAAAUCCCUCAUCGUCGGAGGAAGGCGUGCGACCGACAAAGAAAUAGGCUGAUGGAGCAGGAUGGGGUGGCGGUUCAAGUUCGGCGGCCUUCGCGUGUUGUGGUUGGCGGCGCUCCACUUCCCUUCUCCCUUGCCCAGUACGGUGGUCUGCAGAUUAUCCUUCAAAGGAGGCCACAAAGAGCAGCGAUGGCUUCUUGGUAAUCUGCAAUUGGCCACAAAGGAUGAGGUACAUGGAGAUUGCCAGCUACCUUCCAUUGGUGUAUAUGCAAGCUACAGAGAAAACCAAAUAUGCACCAUGCCGAUAUGCUUCAUGACGAGUGUGCUUUUGUCAUCCCUCACCCUCUCAGAUGGCCAUUAGGUGCUAACCAAGAGGUGCACGCCAUGAAUCAAACUACCGAGGGGGCAUACAGUAAUAAGGAGGGAGUGGCUAUCGCAGCGAAGCUACCCUCCCCCUCAAUCAUGCACUGCUUUUCAAACGCAGUUUGCCACUGCUGUUUAAUUAGCUUCUGCAUUAGCAGCGGAUUCAGAGUUUAUUCUUCAGCGGAUUCAAUUUGCAGGAGACUCCUGUUGCAGUUUGGUGACAUAGAUCAGUGUCAAGUCGCUUAACAAAUGCAGCUAGGUUCCAUUCAGUUAGCCAAAGCCAUUGUGCAUUAAAAUUGUAGAUGUGCAUGAGAGUGUGAAAAUCAUUAUGGCACGUCUAUGAGCAUGCUAUACUCCCAUGCUACUUUCAGUUAUUGACCACUAGCUUUAUUACAGCACCCAGGAUUUCAGGGUUUGCUUUACUUAGGUUAGUAUGUACUUUACCACAGAUGAAUUGGUUAUAUCUCAUUUUAAUAUACUUCAUUAGUAAUUACUAAAUAAUCUAAAGCGAGUUCUAUGGCAAAUUUUGUUUGGGUCUACUUUUUUGGAUCAUUUCCAUAUCUACAUUUCUUACAUAUAAAGGUAUGCUGCAAAAAUUAAGGGUCUGGAUGGUAAUUUAUGGCUGUUUCAGUUGCUGACCAUGUGAUUAUGGUAGUCUACAAUUUGCUUACGGGUUCUUCAUUGCUUGAUUUUUAUCUCGGACAAAAGAGGGCCAGCCACACCUUUGAAAUAAGCAGCGGCCAUCCAGUCCAGAACAGACUGAAUCUGCUCGACAAAGUGUGAAAAUGCAAUUACUGCUUGGAAAAGUGUAAAAAGGCCAGGGUAUCAUUUAUGUAGUUAUUUGGAAUGCAAGGUUAGGAAAUCCAAGAAAUAAGAUGAGAAGAGGAAUCUAGCAAAGGAAGGUGAAUCUUUUCUCUUGUGAAUACAACAAGAGUACAUCUCCUUCUUCUAUAUUCCAAUAUAUCAAUAAAACAAGAGAUCUAUAAUAUCAUUGUUUAUGGAGUUCACAGAUUAUUGAAGAUUUUUGCUGCCAUGGAAUUGUGAGUUUGUGACUAUACAUUCUUGUGUCUUGAAGAUGUAUUGUCUCUGUAUGUGAAUGUCAAUAUCCAGGUAUGUAAGCAAGUCCUAACUUUUAUUCACAUAUUUAUCUAUGAAAUGCAUGCAAGCAAAUCACAUCUUACAGACAAAUGCCCCCUUAUAGGUAAAUGUGAUGAUUCAUAAAUUAACCAGUUGGAGAUAUGUAGAUAGUCAGGUGUACUGAUAACUGGAGUUUAGUGCUCAAAAUCCUUCUACCUUUUCUACUGACUGUAUUUUCUUGACGUCUUUAAGAGAAGAAUGAGUACUAUUAGUCAUUCUCUAUCAUGUAUAAUAGUACAAUACUGGAGAUGUGAAUGGAUAAUGUUCAUUUAGUAUAGUAUUAGUAGAUGAUGUUUUUUUUCUUCAGUCAACUCGUGUAUUUCCUGAUAUGUUCAGUCUAUUCCCAAAUUAGUUCGUAAAGUAGCCUUAACAAUUAUACAGUCUCUUUGUGUAUUAGUACUCUGUUUUCUUUGGUUUUGGUCAGCUGGAAGAAUCAGUUUGUCAUAACAUGUGAAAAUGAUUUUAUUUACUUACGCUGUUGCUUUUAUCAGUUAGCAAAGAUGUUUGUCAAAUGUAGUAAGUUAGGCAUCGCAGUGAAGCUUAGCAAAGGGACUUCUGGUGAGGCCUACAAGGCUGGAAGCACUGUAUGUAAGGUGGUACCCUUUGAUGGAUAUUCAUUUGUCAACUAAUACAUGACCACACUAGAGAAGCACACGCCGCGCACACACAAGGAUCCUAUCAGGUUCUAAAUAUGUACGUGGAUGUGGAUGAUCUUUAAAUACCUGGAUGAUUAUUCCACAUAAACAAAGUCAUAUUGUCAUUUUUAACACAAGAACAAAGCAGUGUCCCAUGACACAAAUAGCUACUGCAUGUGUUGAGUAGAAAAUUCAUUCAUUAGUUAUGGGGCAUCAAGAAGAGCAAACACCAAUGCGGUGAGACAUACCUGUUCCAUAUAAACAUGCGGAAAGUUGUAAAUCCUUUCACCUUGGCGAGGCACUGUGAUCAACGGCCUAGCUCAAGCAUGCCAUAGCUCCUUGUAUAAUGCGUCGCUAGAACUCCCUGCACAAAGGAUUCAUUAUGUGAACUAACAUGGCAAGUUUACUUUGUAGCAUGGUAAAUUUAGUUUUAUAGCAUUUUAACCUGACAUAUCGAUAUCUUAUUGCUCUUCAAAGGUAUCUAAAAGUUGUGUUCUCUGCAAACAGAUGGGUGAUGUUAGUCAAUAGAAUACCUAAGAUGUCAGUUUUGUUGCCAAAUAUUGUAAUCCCAGAUUUACAGAGUUCUAGAAUAGAAGAUGAUCUGGUGGUUACCUCUCUAUUAUUUACUCGAAUGACUGUACUUAUAUCUUACGUUCAAACUUUACCCGAUCUUGGUUUAGUUUCCAUCUCCAAUCAGAUUAAUGGUUUGCAGACCAAAGCCAAUGUUUUAUGGAGUUCUUAUUCCUAAUUUAGUUAUACAUUUCAUUUGUAGUUUCUUGGUAGAUAAUAAGCAGUGGCAGAUGAACCAAUAAGUUAUCUGUGCCCAUGCUUUAUUGUAAGCGUUAAAUUUGCUCUCUGGUAUUACUUUCAAUGUGUUAUCCAUACCCAUGCUUUUUGCGGUUAAUUAUCAUGUCUUAUCAACUUAUGCAGAGUCCAUGAUAUCAUACAGUUUGAAGUCAAAAAAUUCAUGAUAUGGGUGAUAUGGAAAAGUCAUUGCCUUCUUUGCUGGAACAUUCCCUGAUUGCCUGGACUUCUUGGGUCAAUCGCUGGACGCCACCCCCGUCUCCUGGACGUCAUGACGCCGCCGAUUUCCUUGACGCCGCGUGCCACCGAUCUUCUAUAACUCAAUUUCUCCAAUUUCUCUCGGCUGUGAGCUCAUAUAUAUUUUUGAGUUGUGAACUUAUUAUGUAAACUCAACACUUUGUUUCGUGACAAGUGAACUCAUUUCAUAUUCAUAUAUCAAUCAUGGUUGAAGUGUCUAUA